RNAcentral lists this ribosomal RNA (484 nucleotides) under uncultured bacterium. Its description in RNAcentral is "partial 16S ribosomal RNA". It matches the Rfam family "Bacterial small subunit ribosomal RNA", at positions 30 to 507 of the family's 1533-position model. The record is from RNAcentral.
AUUGAACGCUGGCGGCAGGCCUAACACAUGCAAGUCGAGCGGUAGAGAGAAGCUUGCUUCUCUUGAGAGCGGCGGACGGGUGAGUAAUGCCUAGGAAUCUGCCUGGUAGUGGGGGAUAACGUUCGGAAACGGACGCUAAUACCGCAUACGUCCUACGGGAGAAAGCAGGGGACCUUCGGGCCUUGCGCUAUCAGAUGAGCCUAGGUCGGAUUAGCUAGUUGGUGGGGUAAUGGCUCACCAAGGCGACGAUCCGUAACUGGUCUGAGGGGAUGAUCAGUCACACUGGAACUGAGACACGGUCCAGACUCCUACGGGAGGCAGCAGUGGGGAAUAUUGGACAAUGGGCGAAAGCCUGAUCCAGCCAUGCCGCGUGUGUGAAGAAGGUCUUCGGAUUGUAAAGCACUUUAAGUUGGGAGGAAGGGCAGUAAAUUAAUACUUUGCUGUUUUGACGUUACCGACAGAAUAAGCACCGGCUAACUCUGUG